RNAcentral lists this small nucleolar RNA (111 nucleotides) under Malassezia globosa CBS 7966. Its description in RNAcentral is "Small nucleolar RNA snR60/Z15/Z230/Z193/J17". It matches the Rfam family "Small nucleolar RNA snR60/Z15/Z230/Z193/J17". Rfam says of the family: The members of this family belong to the C/D class of snoRNAs which contain the C (UGAUGA) and D (CUGA) box motifs. Lineage: Eukaryota; Fungi; Basidiomycota; Malasseziomycetes; Malasseziales; Malasseziaceae. The record is from Rfam by way of RNAcentral.
AAUCUCCAGGUGAUUAGUCUCACAAUAAUGCAUAGUUCAAAUCUAGGCAAUGUCCAAUGCGAACAACCAUACCAUCACCAUAAAGUCUUUCGCUCCUAUAUGAUGGAUGGG